AUCAUUAACCUCCUGCUUGUGGGUGCCGAGUCUGGAAGCCGCCGUCAGAAAGACUGUGGCGAUCAAGCUCUUCACCUUUUCCUGAUAACCUGAAUUGCAAUUUGGGAGCUGCCGGACAUGUGCUGAGCCACAGCAGGUGUCUGCUCCCCGGAGUGCACCUGGCUGCGAAACCACAGCGGUUCGAAGGUCGUAUUGAUCAUGGACAGUGAAGAAAUCCCAACAUUUUCCAGUCCAAAGGAGGAAACUGCGUAUUGGAAAGAGCUUUCCUUGAAGUACAAACAGAGCUUCCAGGAAGCUCGUGAAGAGCUGGCUGAAUUUCAGGAGGGAAGCAGAGAAUUAGAAGCUGAGUUGGAGGCACAGCUAGUGCAAGCUGAACAGAGGAACAGAGAUUUGCAAGCAGAUAACCAAAGACUGAAGUAUGAAGUGGAAACACUAAAGGAGAAACUGGAGCACCAGUAUGCGCAAAGUUACAAGCAAGUGUCGUUGUUGGAGGAUGACCUGAGUCAGACACGGGCCAUUAAAGAUCAGCUGCAUAAGUAUGUGAGGGAGCUGGAGCAGGCCAACGAUGACUUGGAACGCGCAAAGAGGGCAACAAUAGUUUCAUUGGAAGACUUUGAACAAAGGCUGAACCAGGCUAUUGAGAGAAAUGCAUUUUUAGAAAGUGAACUGGAUGACAAGGAAUCGUUGCUAGUUUCUGUACAGAGAUUAAAGGAUGAAGCGAGAGACUUGCGGCAAGAGCUAGCAGUUCGGGAAAGGCAACAAGAAGUCACCCGAAAGUCAGCACCCAGUUCUCCAACUCUAGACUGUGAAAAGAUGGAUUCGGCUGUCCAGGCGUCUCUCUCCUUGCCAGCUACGCCUGUGGGAAAAGGAUCAGAAAAUAGUUUUCCUUCCCCAAAAGCUAUACCGAACGGAUUUGGUACCAGCCCCCUUACUCCUUCAGCUAGAAUAUCUGCACUCAACAUUGUGGGAGACCUGUUACGGAAAGUGGGGGCCUUAGAAUCCAAAUUAGCUGCUUGCAGAAAUUUCGCAAAGGACCAGGCAUCACGGAAGUCCUACAUUUCAGGGAAUGUUAACAGUGGCAUGAUGAACAGCAAUGGCACAAAGUACCCUCAUCCAGGGCAUACUACUUUCUUUGACAAAGGUGCUCUGGGCUUUAUCCAGGUGACAUGCUUGCAGCAGUGGAGCUGCUGGGAGUGCUGCUUGUUGCUGAAACAGGGACCCCCUUCCUGCCUGUGUAGAACAGAGUCUUCUUAGGCUGAGCUCAAAGAAGAGAGCUCUGGCGUGAAAAGGUCAUAUUCCCCACCUUGGUCAUGGGGCGGUAAACGGCUUUGACCAAGGUUCCCCUGGACUAGGAGCAUCCCGACCAUCCUCAGCGCCUGGCAUGCUCCCCCUCAGCGUAUGAGCCUGUGGGAGGUCGUGUUCGGACUUGCGGAUGCUUUUCUCAACCAACCAAGAGAAGAACUGCUCCCUCUUCCUCCCUCUUCUUGCCCUGAUGGAACAUGACCUGCUCCCCGUGACCAGAGGAGUCCGUGUGCUCACAGCCCUUCGUGUCAUGUUAAUACAGUUUAUUUCCUCCUGUUGCUGUAGUGGACAUUCUCUGACUUGGCCCCUCAGGCUGAGCCAGGCCGUGCUCUGUGUCAGGGGAUGCAGGAGUCUUGCUUGCCAGACCGUGGCCAGGCAGCCCUCAGCCCUCGCUUUAGCUCUUCUCUAACUUAGAUUUGGCACAACACAAACAGCGGCUGCUCCUCUUAAUGGCUUCCUGGCAUCUGCCUCUUCCACCGUCCUGCUGCUCUGGAGGGGUGGCUGCUGCCCUCCCCCUGAGCCUCUGGCCUUGGACAGGGGAGGCUGUGGUGACACUCAGGACGUUUGUGACUUGACAUCAAGUCUAGGUUAGUGACUCAGUUACUGCAGCUUAAAAAAAAUACAGGUGUGGGGCUGUCACUGCAGGUAUCGUGUCUGGUGUGGGAGCAGGCAGGGAGAAUAAAGUGGGGGGGAAGGGAUGGAUGGAGAUGGAUGUGGCCACCACCUGCCCAGCACACAUCAGUCACAGUGUCACAUGCCUUAGUGUGAGCAGGUAGGGCUGAGCAUUGCUGGAACUUUCUCCUGGGGUGCUCCUGUAGCUGUGGGGCAGGAACCUGUCCAGCUGCUGCAGUGGUCACUGUGUCCCCAGCACAGCUUCCCUGUCCCCAGCCUGUGCCAUCAAACUCCCAGCUCCUCAAUGGGGAUUCUUGGAGAGCUUUAGGAAGCCACUAACCUAGAGGGCUGUGCUGUCUAUGACACCCCCCUGUAACCAUCACUACCCUGUUCUGAUCUGUGUAACGUAGGAGUGGAUUUCACAGCAUCGGCUCUGGGCUUUUGUGACAGUUUUGGGUGACUGUGAACCUUGUGGGUCUUUCAAGCAACAUCUUUGUGAGAGUUCGGAAACCGUCGCUCCCUGCCUGGUUCAUCAUGCUCUGUGGCUCCUAUUGGUUUAUUUACAAGUGCUGAGAAAAACUGUCAGCCCCAGCAGGAGCGGGGGAAGUCCCUCCUUGCCCUGGGGGUCUGUAUGGUCCUUCCUUCCUGUGCAUCCUCUGCUGCAUUUGACUGUUUACAUUUGUUUUAUUGUACAUAGGUUUGUAAACAUGGUCUCUUUGCCUAAGAUCUUUGUACAUAAUUAACUUGGGCUUUGUAGCUUUAUUUAUUCAAAGUCUAUAUGGCAUGUUUGGAUAGGACGGUGUACCAUGCCACCACAGUGACACAGCUCAUCAUGUGGUUAAAACAAACAAAGCCAAAUGAGAGUAAACUUCCAAAAAUAAAGUUCUUUUAAUGUGGA
Columba livia (rock pigeon) is the source of this 2812-nucleotide RNA transcript. It is a transcript of the gene named nudE neurodevelopment protein 1 like 1, with no coding region annotated. The record is from RefSeq and is a predicted model, not a curated record. The transcript is spliced from 11 exons. Lineage: Eukaryota; Metazoa; Chordata; Aves; Columbiformes; Columbidae.